GCUGAAUGAAAUCAAGCUCCCCUAAUCUCAAUUGGGAAAUUGGACCAAUGGAAAUGAUGUUCAGUGGCUUGCAGAUGUACCUAAUUAACCAGCCAGAUUAGAAGGGUCUAGGAUUCCUUUGUAAGGCGCAGCAAGAAAGACAAUCAGAUACAAUAUCAGGGAUCUCCUGGUAAGGCUUCUGGCUACCAUUAGUUCUGAAUACUGAGGUUUUGAUGAGAAAAAUGGCUGUGAGUUUUGAAAUGUCUUUGAGACUUUCUUGGAUUUGUUGCCUGCUAAUUGGAGGGAUAACCUGUUAUCCUCCACCUAAAGGUAACUAUAGAUAUAUUCCCCAAAAUAAAUUAAAAGGAACCACGACUGGCCCAAAUACUUUAGGUGGAGCAACUGGAUCCCGUACCGAAGCAGCCACCCACAAUGCCUCAGCAAGUGCCACGACUGGCCCAAAUACUUUAGGUGAAGCAACUGGCCACAGUGCCUCGCAAGCGGCCCCCCGUAAUGCCUCGGCAGCGCAAGCGGCCACACAUAAUGCCACGGCAAGUGUGGUAACUGGCCCAAAUACCUUAGGUGAAUCAUCUGGCCACAAUGCUUCAUCAGGUGUCAGGGCGGGCCCAAAUGCCUUGGGUGAAGCAGCAGCAGCAACCCGAAACGCCUCAGCAAGCGUUACAGCUGGGCCAAAUACCUUAGGUGAAGCAUCUGGCCACGGUUCCUCGGAAGCAACUGGCCACGGAGCCUCGGCAGCAGAAGCAACUGGCCACACAGCCACCCACAAUGCCUCAGCAAGCGUCACGGCUGGCCCAAAUACCUUAUGUGAAGCAACCGGCCACUUUGCCUCAUCAAGUGCGGAAUCUGGUUCAAAUGCUUCGGCAGGAGCGACAGGCGCCCUUGCCUCGGCAGGAGCGACAGGCGCCCUUGCCUCGGCAGGAGCGACAGGCCCCCUUGCCUCGGCAGGAGCGACAGGCCCCCUUGCCUCGGCAGGAGCGACAGGCCCCCUUGCCUCGGCAGGAGCGACAGGCGCCCUUGCCUCGGCAGGAGCGACAGGCGCCCUUGCCUCGGCAGGAGCGACAGGCGCCCUUGCCUCGGCAGGAGCGACAGGCGGCCUUGCCUCGGCAGGAGCGACAGGCGCCCCUUGCCUCGGCAGGAGCGACAGGCGCCCCUUGCCUCGGCAGGAGCGACAGGCGCCCUUGCCUCGGCAGGAGCGACAGGCGCCCUUGCCUCGGCAGGAGCGACAGGCGCCCUUGCCUCGGCAGGAGCACAGCCUUGAACAGGAGGGCCAACUCCUCAAGCAACAUGGAUUUUAGCAGCAGUGAUGUUUCUCAGGAUUUUGUGUCUGAUGGUGACAAUGAAAGCACCUAAUGUGUCAGCUCCAGCAGCGUUCAAGGCAGCAUCGUUGAACAGUCAGUCCUCAUCCCAAUAUAGUUACAAAUCGGUUUAUGAGAAUGGCAGAACUGUCUACUCCCAAUCCUGCCACACCAGUGGGGAGGUUAUACCUUUUUGAUAGCGGAGAAGCAUAUCCCCACCUGCUAAAAACUCUCAACCUGCUAAAGGAGCCCCACCACAAGGCUACGGCUACUGGGAUGCAAUGUAAUGUAUAACUUUUACACAUCUGAACUUUGCGUUCUGAUUUUGAAAUCCUUUGUACUAAUCAGCUAUCAACAGAAUUGUAAAUGUAGAUUCAUCCUUUGGAUGACAUUUCUGAGUUGUUGCUGACACUUUCUUUAAGCUUCCACUGUAUGCUUUUGCGAUGGCCAGGGAGUUGCUGCUGCUCAUGCUACCCUGCAUUACUUGUAAAACAAUAAAAUAUUGUACCUUUAAAAGGGCCUCCUUGUGUUUUUGAAAUACUGUGUGUUUGUCUACCUUUGGCUUGUUGGUUGAGAACAGUGUUGGUUGCCAGUGCAAUUUGUAGUAAAAGGGAAUGUGGUUCACAGUUCCUAAUCUUUUGGAUUUCAAAUGUAUAAGUUCUUUGCUGGUUGGCUCUACAUUAAAGCCACUGAACCCACCUUUACAUGGAUACUGAAGUAUUUAUUUUGUGUUGACAUGUAAACAUCAAAUCCUGUUUUACAAAAACCUGAAAGCUUGUACCCCGGAGAUGGGCUACUGUGGCAUGUAAACAUCUUAAUUCUGUGUUUUGUAGUAUGCACAGGCUCCGUUUCGCAUCUCAUGGUUGUCUGACUCUGUCAAAGAAAUCAAUUUAAAGUUGGCUACCUGCUCAGUUUGAUCCACCAUAACUGAGUUUAAUGGCUACUUUCACCCCUAAUUUAGACAAGCUUCUGCUUACUUACAUUAGGUAGGCCAUUUGUCAACUAGUUUAAUACAUGCAGCUUCUCUUCUGUCACAACUUGUUGCCCCAUAAGACUAAAGUAGUGCUCACAAAUGUCUUGCGUUGAUAGACUGAAUGCAUUAGUAACCUUAACAGGUAAAAUGAUUGAAGGAGCAGGUAGCAUGCUAGAACACAUUGGUCCUGUGCCAAAUGUCAUUUUGACAGAUUAUAAGGAAAUGGAAAGCUGAGAAUGGUAACUUCAGUUAGUCUUGGGUGUGUAUUUUAUGUGGUUGAAAUGCUGUCUGUUAGCAAAGAUGACAACACGUGCAUUCGCAUUUUCCCUGAGACGCUGAUAGAAAUAUCAACUCCUGUUCCCAAGACAAUUUAAAGAUACAUUUUUAUCAUUUCACUGCAAAUGAAGUUAAAAUAAACUCAAAAGAAACAUCC
Salmo trutta (river trout) is the source of this 2701-nucleotide long non-coding RNA. The record is from Ensembl. Lineage: Eukaryota; Metazoa; Chordata; Actinopteri; Salmoniformes; Salmonidae.